Molecule: long non-coding RNA, 739 nt
Filed under: Phascolarctos cinereus (koala)
Lineage: Eukaryota; Metazoa; Chordata; Mammalia; Diprotodontia; Phascolarctidae
Description: lncRNA (ENSPCIG00000027701.2)
Source: RNAcentral
CCUGCCUCCACAGCCUAUUAUGACAGGCUAUCAACUGUGGCCUGGGCAGCCACAGUUAGGCCUGAACUGCAUUGUCUAUAUGGAAGAGGAGGACUGAGGUCAGACAUCAAGGUCAAGACGGGAAAGGGAGUGAGGAGAACCCUUGACACUCUAGAAAUGGGGAGACUAAAGCUGAAAAAAGGAUACAUGAUGGACAAUGAUGCCUGGAUUAACCCAAAUAGGGAUUUCAGACAGAGAUUACACGGGUAUCCACCGCCUCCACCCCCACCCCCACGACCUACACAGCCGCAUACGGUCUCGGGCCAACCCCGGCUUCUUCAAUGCUCAGUGGUAAACCUGAACCCCUUUGAGGAGAGGAACACCAUCUUGGAGUUAGAGCAGGCCAACCAAAAACUGAAGGAUAUGAACCAGGAGCUGAGGGAGCAGCUCGAAGACAUCAUGGAGCCAAGGGAGAUGAGGCAUGACUUUAUGUGCCCCAACCAUCAGCAGCAAUUACAGAUCCUGUCUUGGGUGUGGGAUGGCAUGAGUGAAGUUCACAUGUCCUUGACUGACCAGACUGAAGGACUUCUGAAUCUCAAAAAAGAUAUUGGAGAUGUGUUAAAGGAGGUGGAAGACAUACGAAUGGAAAUUCUUCGGGACAAGGCCCGGUACCACACUCUGACCAGGAAAGGCUUGCUUAUGCAGAAGAAGAAGCCGUCUCAGCCGCCCCCCCAGAUGUCCAGAUGACCAGAUGUCCAGG